Molecule: ribosomal RNA, 253 nt
Filed under: uncultured bacterium
Lineage: Bacteria
Description: partial 16S ribosomal RNA
Rfam family: Bacterial small subunit ribosomal RNA
Source: RNAcentral
UACGGGGGGGGCAAGCGUUGUUCGGAAUUACUGGGCGUAAAGGGCUCGUAGGCGGCCAACUAAGUCGGAUGUGAAAUCCCCAGGCUCAACUUGGGAACUGCAUCCGAUACUGGAUGGCUUGAAUUCGGGAGAGGGAUGCAGAAUUCCAGGUGUAGCGGUGAAAUGCGUAGAUAUCAGGAAGAACACCAACGGCGAAGGCAGCUCGCUGGGACGGUACUGACGCUGAGACGCGAAAGCGUGGGGAGCGAACAGG